UCAUAUAGUUUGGGCCCAGACCCCAAAUUUCACGGGGUCCAAUUACAGUGUCAGGACCUGAAUGCUAAGAACGAGUUAAAGUUAGACCUCAAUCCGCUGCAGAAAAAAAACAUGUCAUUUAAAGACAAAGUUACAGUGUGUCUCCACCUCUCCAAUGUGAUUGCGGCCCUCAUGCUGAGCUUUUUCUGUGAGGAUGGAACAGCCUGACUCCCACCUCUCCCUAUUUCUGGCGUUUUGGCAUCCUGACAACUGGAAAACACAGGGGCCAGGGAAAUGAAAACCAAGACAAGUCCUGAGAAAAGUCCUCUGGCCCAAGUGACCACCAGAAGUCAAUGUGGAAAUGGAGACAAGCAGGGGAAGACCAUCUCACCCUAUAUGAACUGCGGUAUGUCGCACCACCAUGAUGUCCGUUCCCUACCUCAAUCAGCUUCAUCAGUUUUCUGCACGGAUGCCUGGCUGGACGCCUCAAUCCCAGAGUCAAGCUCAUACCCUGGGAACCCCACACCAUACCAGGCUUCCUGGAGGAAAGGCAGCGGAUGUUUCCAUACUUCCUUGUCCAUGCUACCAGAAACUGUCACCAUAGAAGAACACUUCCAAUCUCAUUAAUCCUUUUCCACUGGGCAAUUCAAUUCUGCAAAGGACCGCGAAGUCUCCCUUGGAGCUGUGUGUCACCAAACAACUGGCUGCCCUCUGCACCUUUGAGGGACUAUAUAACUCAAGUUCCUCUUCAGUAAAUCAAUGAGCAAUUAUUGAGCA
Molecule: long non-coding RNA, 756 nt
Organism: Ornithorhynchus anatinus (platypus)
Lineage: Eukaryota; Metazoa; Chordata; Mammalia; Monotremata; Ornithorhynchidae
Exons: 4
Source: RefSeq, a predicted model, not a curated record